CCUACGGGGGGCAGCAGUGAGGAAUAUUGGUCAAUGGUCGGGAGACUGAACCAGCCAAGCCGCGUGAGGGAGGAAGGUACAGAGUAUCGUAAACCUCUUUUGUCAGGGAACAAAGACUGGGACGCGUCCCCGGAUGAGUGUACCUGAAGAAAAAGCAUCGGCUAACUCCGUGCCAGCAGCCGCGGUAAGACGGAGGAUGCGAGCGUUAUCCGGAUUUAUUGGGUUGAAAGGGUGCGCAGGGUGGCGGUUAAGUCAGCGGUCAAAGCCCGGGGCUCAACCCCGGCCCGCCGUUGAGACUGGCAGUCUCGAGUUGGAGAGAAGUAUGCGGAAUGCGGGGUGUAGCGGUGAAAUGCAUAGAUAUCGCGCAGAACUCCGAUUGCGAAGGCAGCAUGCCGGCUCCACACUGACGCUGAGGCACGAAAGCGUGGGUAUCGAACAGGAUUAGAUACCCCAGUAGUC
RNAcentral lists this ribosomal RNA (459 nucleotides) under uncultured bacterium. Its description in RNAcentral is "partial 16S ribosomal RNA". It matches the Rfam family "Bacterial small subunit ribosomal RNA", at positions 338 to 795 of the family's 1533-position model. The record is from RNAcentral.